RNAcentral lists this ribosomal RNA (253 nucleotides) under uncultured bacterium. Its description in RNAcentral is "partial 16S ribosomal RNA". It matches the Rfam family "Bacterial small subunit ribosomal RNA", at positions 524 to 776 of the family's 1533-position model. The record is from RNAcentral.
UACGGGGGGGGCGAGCGUUGUUCGGAAUUACUGGGCGUAAAGGGCGCGUAGGCGGUUCGCUAAGUUGGAUGUGAAAACUCUGGGCUCAACCCAGAGCCUGCAUCCAAAACUGGCGGGCUAGAGUUCUGGAGGGGGUAGCGGAAUUCCUGGUGUAGCGGUGAAAUGCGUAGAUAUCAGGAGGAACACCGGUGGCGAAGGCGGCUUCCUGGCGCGAUUCUGACGCUGAGGUGCGAAAGCGUGGGGAGCGAUCCGG